GACGAACGCUGGCGGCGUGCUUAACACAUGCCAGUCGAACGGAAAGGCCCUGCUUUUGUGGGGUGCUCUAGUGGCGAACGGGUGAGUAACACGUGAUUAACCUGCCCUUGACUUUGGUAUAACUUCAGGAAACUGGGUCUAAUACCGGAUAGGAGCUCCUGCUGCAUGGUGGGGGUUGGAAAGUUUCGGCGGUUGGGGAUGGACUCGCGGAUUAUCAGCUUGUUGGUGGGGUAGUGGCUUACCAAGGCUUUGACGGGUAGCCGGCCUGAGAGGGUGACAGGCAAAAUUGGGAAGGAGAUACGGGCCAGAAUACGAAGGGAGGCAGCAGUGGGGAAUAUUGAACAAUGGGCGGAAGCCUGAUGCAGCAACGCAGCGUGCGGGAUGACGGACUUCGGGUUGUAAACCGAUUUCGCCUGUGACGAAGCGUGAGUGACGGUAAUGGGUAAAGAAGCACCGGCUAACUACGUG
This 468-nucleotide ribosomal RNA is filed under the name uncultured bacterium. RNAcentral's name for it is "partial 16S ribosomal RNA". It matches the Rfam family "Bacterial small subunit ribosomal RNA", at positions 28 to 507 of the family's 1533-position model. The record is from RNAcentral.